AUGAGCACACCCUACCACCCAGCUACAGACAACCAGAAGGAUUGCGUCAAUCAGUGUUUCCAGACAUUCUUACGCUACUUUGUCCACUCUUGCCCCAAGAAGUGGAGUUCAUGGUUGGCAUUGGCGGAGUAUUGGUUCAAUACCAGCUGGCACAACGCUCAUGGCAAGUCCCCCUUCUUUGUACUCUAUGACCAUGAUCCUCGGCAUUGGGGAAUCGAAGCAGUCGUCGACCUCAACACUUGGCUUUAUGAACAUGUGGAGAUGAUUGCUCUGAUCCGUCAACACUUGCUACGAGCACAAAUGCGUAUGAAGCAUCAGGCCGAUAAAGGGCGAUUUGAAAGAAUUUUUGCAGUUGGCGAUUCAGUCUACAUCAAGCUUCAACCUUAUGUGCAGAGUUCUGUCGCUCAGCGCACCUGCCAUAAAUUAUCUUUCUGCUACUUAGGCCCCUUCCUCAUCUAA
This 459-nucleotide ribosomal RNA is filed under the name Triticum aestivum (bread wheat). RNAcentral's name for it is "partial small subunit ribosomal RNA". Lineage: Eukaryota; Viridiplantae; Streptophyta; Magnoliopsida; Poales; Poaceae. The record is from RNAcentral.